UACGUAGGGGGCAAGCGUUGUCCGGAAUCACUGGGCGUAAAGCGCGCGUAGGCGGUUUGUUAAGUGGGAUGUGAAAUCCCCGGGCUUAACCUGGGAAUUGCAUUUCAAACUGGCCGACUAGAGUACGGUAGAGGGAGGUAGAAUUUCCUGUGUAGCGGUGAAAUGCGUAGAUAUAGGAAGGAAUACCAGUGGCGAAGGCGGCCUCCUGGAUCGAUACUGACGCUGAGGCGCGAAAGCGUGGGGAGCAAACAGG
This 253-nucleotide ribosomal RNA is filed under the name uncultured bacterium. RNAcentral describes it as "partial 16S ribosomal RNA". It matches the Rfam family "Bacterial small subunit ribosomal RNA", at positions 524 to 776 of the family's 1533-position model. The record is from RNAcentral.